RNAcentral lists this ribosomal RNA (493 nucleotides) under uncultured bacterium. RNAcentral describes it as "partial 16S ribosomal RNA". It matches the Rfam family "Bacterial small subunit ribosomal RNA", at positions 27 to 507 of the family's 1533-position model. The record is from RNAcentral.
GAUUGAACGCUGGCGGCAUGCUUUACACAUGCAAGUCGAACGGUAACAGGCCUUCGGGUGCUGACGAGUGGCGAACGGGUGAGUAAUGCAUCGGAACGUACCCAGAGGUGGGGGAUAACGCAGCGAAAGCUGUGCUAAUACCGCAUGUGAUCUGAGGAUGAAAGCGGGGGACCGAGCAGCAAUGUUUGGCCUCGCGCCUUUGGAGCGGCCGAUGUCGGAUUAGCUAGUUGGUGGGGUAAAGGCCUACCAAGGCGACGAUCCGUAGCUGGUCUGAGAGGACGACCGGCCACACUGGGACUGAGACACGGCCCAGACUCCUACGGGAGGCAGCAGUGGGGAAUUUUGGACAAUGGGCGCAAGCCUGAUCCAGCAAUGCCGCGUGCGGGAAGAAGGCCUUCGGGUUGUAAACCGCUUUUGGCAGGAACGAAACGGUGUCCGCUAAUACCGGGCGCUAAUGACGGUACCUGCAGAAUAAGCACCGGCUAACUACGUG